Molecule: ribosomal RNA, 253 nt
Filed under: uncultured bacterium
Lineage: Bacteria
Description: partial 16S ribosomal RNA
Rfam family: Bacterial small subunit ribosomal RNA
Source: RNAcentral
UACGAAUGGAGCAAGCGUUGUUCGGAAUCACUGGGCUUAAAGCGUAUGUAGGCCGACAAGAAAGUCAGAAGUGAAAUCCCCGGGCUCAACCCGGGAACUGCUUUUGAAACUUCUUGUCUAGAAUCCUGGAGAGGUUGGGAGAAUUCCUAGUGUAGAGGUGAAAUUCGCAGAUAUUAGGAGGAAUACCAGUGGCGUAGGCGCCCAACUGGACAGGUAUUGACGCUCAGAUACGAAAGCGUGGGUAGCAAACAGG